This 23-nucleotide microRNA is filed under the name Mus musculus (house mouse). RNAcentral describes it as "piRNA piR-mmu-49389023". Lineage: Eukaryota; Metazoa; Chordata; Mammalia; Rodentia; Muridae. RNAcentral also lists the same sequence under 1 other name. The record is from RNAcentral.
CAAAGUGCUAUUCGUGCAGGUAG